UCAUGAAAGCCGGCUGUACCCGAAGUCAUUGUGCCAACUGCAAAGAGGCAGAUGCCGAAGGUAUGGCUGGUGAUUGGGAGUG
RNAcentral lists this ribosomal RNA (82 nucleotides) under uncultured bacterium. Its description in RNAcentral is "partial 16S ribosomal RNA". The record is from RNAcentral.